RNAcentral lists this ribosomal RNA (460 nucleotides) under uncultured bacterium. Its description in RNAcentral is "partial 16S ribosomal RNA". It matches the Rfam family "Bacterial small subunit ribosomal RNA", at positions 338 to 795 of the family's 1533-position model. The record is from RNAcentral.
CCUACGGGAGGCUGCAGUGAGGAAUAUUGGUCAAUGGGCGCGAGCCUGAACCAGCCAAGUAGCGUGAAGGAUGACUGCCCUACGGGUUGUAAACUUCUUUUAUCAGGGAAUAAAAUGAGCCACGUGUGCCUUUUUGUAUGUACUUUAUGAAUAAGCAUCGGCUAACUCCGUGCCAGCAGCCGCGGUAAUACGGAGGAUCCGAGCGUUAUCCGGAUUUAUGGGGUUUAAAGGGAGCGUAGAUGGGUUGUUAAGUCAGUUGUGAAAGUUUGCGGCUCAACCGUAAAAUUGCAAUUGAUACUGGCAGCCUUGAGUGCAGUUGAGGUAGGCGGAAUUCGUGGUGUAGCGGUGAAAUGCUUAGAUAUCACGAAGAACUCCGAUUGCGAAGGCAGCUUACUAAACUGCGACUGACAUUGAUGCUCGAAAGUGUGGGUAUCAAACAGGAUUAGAUACCCCAGUAGUC